UCCCACUAUCUUAGAUACCCACUCCAGAAAGACCAAAUACCCUUUCUUCUUUGCCGUUCUCUCUGCCUCUCUCAGUCGAUGCUCUGCGUUCUCCCACUAUUUUAUUCUUCUUUUUAUUUUAGGUUUUAUACCCACUCCAAAGAGACCAAAUACCCUUUCUUCUUUGCCGUUCUCUCUGCCUCUCUCAGUUGAUGCUCUGCUGCCUCUCUCAGUUGAUGCUCUGCGUUCUCCCACUCUUUUAUUUUUCCUUUUAUUUUAGGUUUUAUACCCACUCCAGAGAGACCAAAUACCCUUUCUUCUUUGCCGUUCUCUCUACCUCUCUCAGUUCUCAAAAUCCCUAAAUCAUAGCCCAUGGGCACUCUCUCACUCCUUUAGUGGCAAAAAGUGCCAGCCUCCAGCCACCGUCAUAUAUCGCCAAAGCUAAGUGCAGGUUGAACCCGUGCAAAAUCAAAGAUAUCUGCUUCUUCUUCAACUCUCUCUCAGCCUCCAUCUUUUCCCUGAAAAACACAAAACACGAACUGACCUCAGACCUCUAGGUUAUUGGUGUUAAAUACACAAGAAAAUGAGGGGAAAGUUAAGAAGAUUCUGUCGUGCGAGCCUUUUAAAAGGCGAUUCUGACUUUGUUGCUGUCAUGCAGGCGAUACAGCAAGACUUCAUUUGCAUCUCUCACACCCACAUGAACCACAUUGUGUUGAAGAUAUCAUUGUGGCUGCUACUUCUAAAGAUAACACCCUAAGGCUGUGGAAGGUAAAAGGCUAUUUUUCUUCAAAAUAUAUCGAAUUCUUGUGGUAAAGAAUUCCAUCCAUGUUUGAACCAUACUUUCUAGAAUAAUAAUAGUAACAAUAAAGAAAUGAAUAGAUAUUUUGGAAAUCCUAUAACAUUUUUAGCAGUUAUAAAUAAAUUGUUAGGUUCUUUUGCCAUCUUCCAUUUUAAUCCAUUUAGAUUUUUGUCAUUUUGGGCGUGUUAUUGAUGGUUGAAAUACGGGCCAAUUUGUUUAGUCUAUUAGCUGCUCAUCCAUUAAAACCCUUGGUAUCCGUACCUCAGGAGGUACAAAAACAAUGCAAGAGAGCUUGGUGAGCUUCAACUUUUAGAGUUGCUUCCUUUCUAAUCGAGUCUAAAAUCUUACCAAUUGACUCUUCACAAUUGAUGCUAGGUUCGUUAAUUCUGCUUCCAACAAUCUCCCUCUAUGUUCUUGAUUUUUGGUUCUUUAUUUUGUGAUUUUUAAUUAUUUUUUUAUUUCAUUCCUUUUUCAAUAAAUAUUAGGUUCUGUUUUUCAAAACAUGGAAACAAUAGCCUAAACUACUGGAUGGGACUUUUGUGAAUUUUGUCACUAAGGCACAAAAUAUAUGAGAGCAAAAUCUACAUUAGGUUUGUAGCAUAUUAGUAUUGACACAAAUCCUUAUUAUGUUAUAUAUUAAAGCAAGACCAUUUAGCACAUGAAUAUGGGAGUAAGAUAUAUUGUAUAUGUACUAUAGUUUUUGCCUUUGUCUGCAAAGUUUUACUAGGCAGGAACGUUAUGAUGGGGAGCUUUCGCUGUAUAGCCAGAGAAGAACGAAGCAAUCAAAGAGAAACUCUUUGGGAUGCAGUGUAGAUUCAACAACAAUAUGCUUGCACCUGUUUUCUCAUAUUUAGUAUGAUAAUUUAAACAAAAGUCUUAUGAAAAUAGUUAUUUAUAUUGAUAAAAUAUAGUUAGUGAAGCUAUCCUUGACCAAUUUAAUAAGAUUUUGUUGAGUUGAUUUGCAAAACUCUUCAAAUAUUAUAAAUUUUUGUUAUAAGU
This is a long non-coding RNA of Quercus robur (English oak), 1777 nucleotides long. RefSeq lists it as uncharacterized. Lineage: Eukaryota; Viridiplantae; Streptophyta; Magnoliopsida; Fagales; Fagaceae. The record is from RefSeq and is a predicted model, not a curated record. The transcript is spliced from 4 exons.